Long non-coding RNA from Engraulis encrasicolus (European anchovy), 933 nucleotides. RefSeq lists it as uncharacterized. The transcript is spliced from 4 exons. Lineage: Eukaryota; Metazoa; Chordata; Actinopteri; Clupeiformes; Engraulidae. The record is from RefSeq and is a predicted model, not a curated record.
ACUCCACUGGUAGCCGAAAUGAUGGGGCUCUUUGAAAACCCGAUGGUGGUACCGGUAGUCGUCUCGCCCUUGUUAGCCCUAAUGGUAGACCAGGCGAAGGAGGCGAGCAAUGUUGGACUCACUGCCAUGCAACUGGGCGUCGAUAACCCAGCAAACAUAAAAAUAUGUCGUCAGUGCCAGUUGGUCUUCGGAGCAGUCAGGAGGCAUGGCUUUUGCUGAACGCGACGUGUUGUCUUCCAAGACAAGGUCCUCGGAGUGGACGAGGUUCACCUCAUAUAAUGGGGGAAACGUGACAAAGGGAAGGCCUUCAGGUAUUGUUUUGGCAAGCUAGGAGAACACAUCUGACAGACAAAAAGGUUUCAUCAAAGACACACAGACAGCUCCUGAAGUAAAGGACCUACACAGGACCUUCAUAUCAAGGACAUUGACUGUGUGGAUCUCGAGGUGCAGUUACCCAAAAGUUGCUACCCACGGAAUACCAGGUUUUGAGGGAUCCUGCCAGAGCAGAGAAUCAACAGAUACAUUGAAGAGGAGACUCCGACAUGACCGCCGGCAUCUUGUGUUAUUCACCCCCACCACUUGUAAUACUGAAUGCCUGAAUUGUUGUUUGCUGCUCAGACUUUGUCAACAGAUAUGGUCUUCGACAUGUUACCCUUAGGUGUGGAAACAGAUUGUGACAGUCCAGCAAAAUGAGCCAGACAGAUAGUAACACUGAAAAAGGACAACGUUGUUCCCAUGGCCUCCCACUGCAGAAGACUACAGACGUUCAGUGAAGCACAAACAGCUGUUCCUCUUGUACUUAAUAAUUUAGUCAGCUGGAUUCUAGGUGCCACUAAGGAGCCAACAGUGGAUAAUUUUGUCAACAUUUCAAUGGCAUACAUUAAAAGGGCAGCCUGUAAUUGUUUGCCUUGCCUCCAUCUUCCUUGCCACCAA